CAGUCACAACAUUACGAAUAAUACGUGGACACCAAUUUUCUCCACCUGGGGUACAUUUCGUAAUGUCUGAUGUUAGGGCCUAUGGCCUCAUCCUGGAAAGGUCUUGUUUUGUCAUAUAGAAAUAUCAGUUCGGCAUCAGUUUCGUGAACAGGAGUUACAUGAUAUUGGUGGCAGGUUGCGAGCACUUCCCGAUUUUGGGCCAACGUUUUUCUGCAAACGUCCUAGAGUCGUCAGAGGCGGAGCGUUAAGACUCAUCACAGUACCAGUUCGGUCAAUUUCGGCUAAACGGCUUUCAAACGACUCAACGGCUUUCUGGAGACGUACACAGAAUAAAUUUGUGAUACACAGGACGCAUCGGACGUACUUUUUCGCUUGUGACAUCGUACAAUUUCCCGAGGACGGACGGAUCAAAGACCAUCGAUUCAGUUCACAGAAGACUUCAGUAAAAUUGAUCUGUGGUUUGAAGAUAGUACCACUCUCUCGCAGACGGGUAAGGGCAUCUGCAGCUGCGUGCGUAUUUGCCGAGAGAUUUAAGUAAAAUCACAACACAUCCCCGUAGACGGACUGAGUUUCGGACAUCCAUCCGAAUUUCAGUGCAAGUGGCGACAUUCUGCGGCAGGACAAUCGAAAAUGCCUUCACCACCGCCGAAGACAAACAUAAAAUGGAAUAUGGAUAGACGGAUUUACAUCGGUAACAUGGGUGACGGGGCGAAUAAGGAAGAGAUCUUGGAUGUGUGCAGUAAGUUUGGGGCAGUGAAACACGUGUGGGUGGCGAGGAAACCAGCCGGAUUCGCUUUUGUCGAAUUCUUCGACAAGCGCGCAGCGGAGGAAGCUGCGGAUGAGUUGGAUGAAAAAUGGAUCAAUGGACACAGAGUCUGUGUUGAGAUGUCGACAGGCGAGCCAAAGUUUGCAGCAGACGGGAGACCCCGCGUUGGAAACGGUAUGCGCCGGUCUCCCACCCUCUCCUCGGCCCAAAUAGCCCCGCGACAGAGGCACAAUCAAGACAGCAGGCGACCCCAAACUUCAAGGUAUAGGCUACAAGUAGUUUAUGCAGCACUCCACAACUAUAAUUGUGUUGAAAUUGGUGAAUCAUACAAGACGAGUCGAGCUUCACAAAUCUAUUUUGGCAGCUGUCGCCAUAUAUCUGGGACCAUCUGGGCCGAUUUCUGCUCUCAUGAACAAUCAUGGGACAAGUUUACAAAUCAAUACUCAGGCACUGAAAACCAUACCCACGUCUGGUCGAUGUCAAUCGUUCAGAGAUCACGUUUAAUAUCCUGCGCCAUUCUACGAACUGGUAAAAAGAGGGCUGAGUAGAUUGUACUUGCUACCGAUGUUACUUGUGAACCUCACCUUCCGUCUUAAGACGCGUUAGCUCUGUUGGUGGAAGCUGGCUACACCGUAUUAGCUGUCGACUUGACAUUUUUUCUUUUCAUCAAAUCCUAGGUUUGACGUAUAUUUGGACGAAGUGACACGGUUGCACUACGGUUUCAGUCCCGUACUCUUCAGAUCUGUCUAUGACAGUUUUUGUCUCUGAUCCACACAAACCAAGCCUAUCUGACCGAAAUUAAUUCCGCAUCAACUUCUAUCGCACACACACGCACACUAUACACUCUGGGAAUUCGGACAUGUGGUCUGAUAUUGACUAGCCUAAGUCACAAAACACUCAAACCAGCAAAGCUCCCCGCCUGCAAAUACACUCCAAACUUCGUUGCACAAUCUAUCUACAACUUCUGACUUUCUUCUCUCCGGACCAAUACUUCAUCUACAAAAGAACAAACCUCCAAAUUGCUCCAUAAAAUGUACUGCCAACAACAGCUGAUCUUUUAUUGAUACAGCAUGUGUCCCUUCAUGUUUUGAAGGACAAACAACGACAAGCAUUCAAGUCAAGAUAUGUAUUGCCGAGACAGCAGCUGCGCCUGCCACUGUCACUGCAGCGUCGGUAGGGAGAUUCCACCUGGAUCGCGGACACGUGGGAGACGGAUCAGGAGCAGGGAGAAACAGAUACGGAACGGGGACAGGGCUGGCCGUCAAGACAGGACGAGGCCACGGGCGUACAGAAGCCGCAGCAGGAGUCAUAGCAGGAGCGCGGGAAGACGUAGUAGACACGACAGCGAUGAUAGUGAUAGUCGAAGCAGUAGGAGUAAAAGUCGCGACAAUCAUUUUGGGGGAAGACCAAGUGGAACACCAAGUUAUGAUCGGUCUCGAUUGCGCCCCGAGACGAAUGUGCUCGAGCAACGAAAUGACGACCAGCUCGGGAAGCAUUUGUGCUCCUGAACUUGAAAUCGGUCAGUCGCGAUGAACGGACGUGUCCUAGUACCCCCCCCCCCCAACAUUCUAUCCUAGGACACUGGCCCUGGAUGUGACAUUCUCAUUGGGUGUGAAGCUCAGCUUGUGGCCAGAACAUUUACUACCACCAAAAGUCAGUGCCAGCAGGUGGAGCCAAUCCAAAAUCAAGAGUAAUAUAUGGACAGAACUAAUCUGGAGUUGAAUAAAGCAAGGCACAACAGCUGUCAUAUUUCAUUCGAAAAUAAAGUUUACUUUGUCAAUAUAUGUAUAUGAUUCAGGAGUUUCAUAUGGUCCCAAAGGGUCAUAACACCCAAAUGUACAGUGCUUCAAGAAAGGUGACAAUACUUCUCACAAUCUUCGGUCCGACACAAUGAAAAGAUCACAAGUCACUCAAAGCACCAAGACGAACAUGUGAUCUAAGCAAAUAGUACCAAUUAUCAAAAGAGAGUAAACUUUUCUACAAAUCUUCAAAACUCAAUGCUACGUCCACUUAUAGACAGCGAGCGAUUUUUCUGUCAAUGUUGUCAGGUAGUGAUUUUCAUUGUAGUUGAAUUGGCACGUA
Molecule: RNA transcript, 2848 nt
Organism: Lineus longissimus
Lineage: Eukaryota; Metazoa; Nemertea; Pilidiophora; Heteronemertea; Lineidae
Gene name: RNA-binding protein 1-like
Exons: 3
Source: RefSeq, a predicted model, not a curated record